This 69-nucleotide transfer RNA is filed under the name Ictidomys tridecemlineatus (thirteen-lined ground squirrel). RNAcentral describes it as "Spermophilus tridecemlineatus (thirteen-lined ground squirrel) tRNA". It matches the Rfam family "tRNA". From Rfam's summary of the family: Transfer RNA (tRNA) molecules are approximately 80 nucleotides in length. The record is from Rfam by way of RNAcentral. Lineage: Eukaryota; Metazoa; Chordata; Mammalia; Rodentia; Sciuridae.
GGGGUUGUAGCUCUGUGGUUGAACAUUUACCUAGCAUGUAAAAGGCCCUGGGUUUGAUCCCCAGCACCA